RNAcentral lists this ribosomal RNA (252 nucleotides) under uncultured bacterium. RNAcentral's name for it is "partial 16S ribosomal RNA". It matches the Rfam family "Bacterial small subunit ribosomal RNA", at positions 524 to 775 of the family's 1533-position model. The record is from RNAcentral.
GACGUGGGGGGCCAGCGUUGCUCGGAAUUACUGGGUGUAAAGGGUUCGUAGGCGGUGUAGCAAGUCGGGAGUGAAAUCUCUGGGCUCAACCCAGAGACUGCUUCCGAAACUGCUGUGCUUGAGUGUGGGAGAGGCGCGUGGAAUUGCAGGUGUAGCGGUGAAAUGCGUAGAUAUCUGCAGGAACACCCGUGGCGAAAGCGGCGCGCUGGACCACUACUGACGCUGAGGAACGAAAGCUAGGGGAGCAAACAG